GUCACAUCAGAACACACACUGGAGAGAAGCCCUACAAAUGUAAAGAUUGUUGCAAAGCUUUUUGUCAAAAAUCACACCUUAUUUGCCACAGCAGAACUCACACUGGAGAGAAGCCCUACAAAUGUACAGAAUGUGACAAAACUUUUUGUCAAAAAUCAGACCUUAUUCGACACAUCAGAAAUCACACUGGAGAGAAGCCCUACAAAUGUACAGAAUG
RNAcentral lists this long non-coding RNA (217 nucleotides) under Marmota monax (woodchuck). The record is from RNAcentral. Lineage: Eukaryota; Metazoa; Chordata; Mammalia; Rodentia; Sciuridae.